UACGGAGGAUGCGAGCGUUAUCCGGAUUUAUUGGGUUUAAAGGGUGCGUAGGCGGAUUUAUAAGUCAGCGGUGAAAUUCUGUCGCUUAACGAUAGCAUUGCCAUUGAUACUGUAGAUCUUGAGUAUAUUUGAGGUGGGCGGAAUGUGUAGUGUAGCGGUGAAAUGCUUAGAUAUUACACAGAACACCAAUUGCGAAGGCAGCUCACUAAACUAUAACUGACGCUGAGGCACGAAAGCGUGGGGAU
Molecule: ribosomal RNA, 245 nt
Filed under: uncultured bacterium
Lineage: Bacteria
Description: partial 16S ribosomal RNA
Rfam family: Bacterial small subunit ribosomal RNA
Source: RNAcentral